UGGGGAAUAUUGGACAAUGGGCGAAAGCCUGAUCCAGCCAUGCCGCGUGUGUGAAGAAGGUCUUCGGAUUGUAAAGCACUUUAAGUUGGGAGGAAGGGCAGUAAGCGAAUACCUUGCUGUUUUGACGUUACCGACAGAAUAAGCACCGGCUAACUCUGUGCCAGCAGCCGCGGUAAUACAGAGGGUGCAAGCGUUAAUCGGAAUUACUGGGCGUAAAGCGCGCGUAGGUGGUUCGUUAAGUUGAAUGUGAAAGCCCCGGGCUCAACCUGGGGACUGCAUCCAAAACUGGCGAGCUAGAGUAGGGUAGAGGGUGGUGGGAUUUCCUGUGUAGCGGUGAAAUGCGUAGAUAUAGGAAGGAACACCAGUGGCGAAGGCGACCACCUGGGCUCAUACUGACACUGAGGUGCGAAAGCGUGGGGAGCAAACAGG
RNAcentral lists this ribosomal RNA (429 nucleotides) under Pseudomonadota bacterium. RNAcentral describes it as "Proteobacteria bacterium partial 16S ribosomal RNA". It matches the Rfam family "Bacterial small subunit ribosomal RNA", at positions 355 to 776 of the family's 1533-position model. The record is from RNAcentral. Lineage: Bacteria; Pseudomonadati; Pseudomonadota.